This 483-nucleotide ribosomal RNA is filed under the name Niceforonia elassodiscus (Cuyuja robber frog). Its description in RNAcentral is "Hypodactylus elassodiscus (Cuyuja robber frog) partial 16S ribosomal RNA". It matches the Rfam family "Bacterial large subunit ribosomal RNA", at positions 1831 to 2528 of the family's 2925-position model. Lineage: Eukaryota; Metazoa; Chordata; Amphibia; Anura; Strabomantidae. The record is from RNAcentral.
CGCCUCCCGACACCAUGGGAGGUCCAGCCUGCCCAGUGACUCUGUCAACGGCCGCGGUAUCCUAACCGUGCGAAGGUAGCGUAAUCACUUGUUUUUUAAAUAAGACUAGUAUGAAAGGCACCACGAAGGUCUAACUGUCUCCUUUUCCAAUCAAUUAAACUAAUCUCCCCGUGAAAAAGCGGGGAUAAACCUAUUAGACGAAAGACCCUAUGGAGCUUUAAACACAAUAAAUUUGCUAACAAUUUUCCCUCCAGGACCCCCACCCCCACAGCAUAAUAAUUAUUAGUUUUAGGUUGGGACGACCACGGAAAAAACCUAUCCUCCACGUUGAAUAGAAUUUCAUCAUAAUAAACGAGUUACAACUUUUGAAUCAAUAAAUUGACAUCCAUUGACCCAAUAUAAUUGAUCAACGAACCAGUUACCCUAGGGAUAACAGCGCAUUCCGCUUUCAGAGCCCCUAUCGACAAGCGGGUUUCGACCUCG